This 253-nucleotide ribosomal RNA is filed under the name uncultured bacterium. Its description in RNAcentral is "partial 16S ribosomal RNA". It matches the Rfam family "Bacterial small subunit ribosomal RNA", at positions 524 to 776 of the family's 1533-position model. The record is from RNAcentral.
UACGGAGGGUGCAAGCAUUAAUCGGAUUUAUUGGGCGUAAAGGGCGCGUAGGUGGGGAUGCAAGUCAGAUGUGAAAGCCCGAGGCUCAACCUCGGAACAGCAUUUGAAACUACUUCUCUUGAGGGUAGGCGGGGAAAACGGAAUUCCACAAGUAGCGGUGAAAUGCGUAGAUAUGUGGAGGAACAUCUGUGGCGAAGGCGGUUUUCUAGCUUAUUCCUGACACUGAGGCGCGAAAGCAAGGGGAGCAAACAGG